Molecule: long non-coding RNA, 2192 nt
Organism: Dicentrarchus labrax (European seabass)
Lineage: Eukaryota; Metazoa; Chordata; Actinopteri; Moronidae
Exons: 4
Source: RefSeq, a predicted model, not a curated record
CAGAGACCCAACAGUACCACCAUGAGCAAGACACUUGGCGACAAGGGCAAGGAAAAACUGCCUGUUAAAAGGCAGAAACCUAGGACAGAUCCUUCGGCUCUAGGUGGGUGGUCGUCUGUCUCGACCAGUUGGGGUGAGAGAGAGAGAGAGAGAGAGAGAGAGAGAGACAGACAGACAGACAGACAGAUAGUCAGACGCACAGCAACAACAGUAGCAACAACUAGUGAUGGCAGUGCUACACUGAAGCUUCAAUACGUGCUUCGAACCCUGAACUACAAUUCCAUAGAACCACUGCUUCAAAGCUUGCUUUGGUGCGAAAAAAAUCCGAAGCAGCAACAGUUUCAUUGCCUGAAUGAAUCAGCUGACUGGUUCGCGGUCCAAUCAGGUGAUUCACUGGCCCGAUUCCGACAGGUGACAGGUUGAGACAGUUUUGAAUUUGAAUGCCAUGAACACUUUAUAACCGCUCUAAACAAUGCACAAUUUGUGGGUUGUUAUCGUAGUUGGAGAGUUGUUACUUUUGAGUUAUUGCGUUUGUAUUGAUUCAUUACGUUUGUAUUGAUUCAUUACGUUUGUAUUGAUUCAUUACGUUUGUAUUGAUUCAUUACGUUUGUAUUGAUUCAUUACGUUUGUAUUGAUUCAUUGCGUUUGUAUUGAUUCAUUGCGUUUGUAUUGAUUCAUUGCGUUUGUAUUGAUUCAUUGCGUUUGUAUUGAUUCAUUAUGGAGCCAGCCAGGAAGAGAGGUCGUUCUAACAUGAGGGAAUACUUCAAUUUGGUCGCUCCUGGUAAGGUCCAGUGCUUGGUGUGUUCGGCUGAACUGAAGUAUCAUGGCAAUACUUCCUCCAUGAUUAGGCACUGCCAACCAGGGCAACACAAAUCAAGUAGACCGAAAGUGAGAGCUAGAUGAAGCUCUUGUCAAUAUGAUGGUGAAAGACUCGCAGCCUUUUUCCAUCGUGGAUGACUGUGGCUUCGAGAAGUUUGUGGCAUUGCUUGAUCCCACAUAUAGUCUUCCAUCCCGACGGGCUCUGAAGAACAUGGUGGUUCAGAGGUAUGAGGUGGAGAAAACCAAGGCCAAGGCUGUACUUCAGAGGGUAGAGGCUGUGAGCCUGACUGCGGAUAUGUGGACCUCCAUUAAUAUGGACGCAUAUCUAGCAGUGACGUGCCAUUAUCUGGAUGAGUCUUUGAAGCUGGCCACAGUGUUUUUGGGAGUGCUGCCUAUCCCUGAAGCCCAUACAGCUGCCAACAUUACUGCUGCAACGAGGUCUCUCAUGGAAGAAUGGAGCAUUGAAGGCAAAGUAACAUCAAUUGUUACAGAUGCAGGAGCUAAUAUGGUUGCCUCUGUCAGAAGCUUAAAUUUGAGACAUGCACUUUGCUUUGCUCAUUCACUUAAUUUAGUGGUGAAGAAGUCUCUAGAUGCGACUCCUGGCCUAGAAGACCUUCGCACAAGGGCAAGCAAGGUGGUCACAUUUUUUUAAAACCAGCACAACAGCAAGAGAAAAGCUCAAAGAAGUGCAGGAGCAGAUGAACCGUCCUGUAAUGAAGCUGAUUCAGGAGGUGGACACAGCACCUUCCUAAUGCUGCAAUGUCUUUUUAAAGAGAGACAGUCAGUGGGGGCAGCUCUUGCAACGCUGAAAAACAGAUGUGAGACCUCUGUCCUCCGAGGACUAUGAGACAGCCGCUGCAUGCCUGCAAUUGCUGGGCCCCUUUUACCAGGCAACAGUAGAGCUGUCAGAGGAGAAAAGGGUCUCAGGGUCAAAGGUCAUCUCUAUGAUAAAGAUGUUGAUGCUGUACUUAUAUGACACAGUGAGAAACAUAAGCCACAACACUGCAAAACAACUGGGACAGAACUUGGUGUCGGUGAUGCUUAACAAAUUUGACACAACAGAGAACCAAACUGCACUGAACCUGUCAAACACUGCUGGAUCCAAGAUUUAAAACCCUAGGCUUUUACAACCAGGUACAAGCACAAUCAUCAGUAGCCUGACUGCACAGUGUUCCCAAGUAAUAAGAAACACCCCUACUGAAGAACAGCCUUCGACAUCAGAUCAACCAGCACCAGCAAAUGUUGGAAAUCCUCCAUCCACAGAUAUUAACCUUUGGGCAACUCUGGAUAGAGAUGUGUCUGAAGCCAGGAGGGCAAGGAAUGCCACAGCAGAUGCCACAGUAGAGGUGCAGCGGUACAUGGUUGACCCAUCG